RNAcentral lists this long non-coding RNA (595 nucleotides) under Helianthus annuus (common sunflower). Lineage: Eukaryota; Viridiplantae; Streptophyta; Magnoliopsida; Asterales; Asteraceae. The record is from RNAcentral.
AUGAUUCCGCUUGAUUGCUCAUUAGUUUGGGGAUUUUUUUGUUUCGCGGUGGUGGUGGGUUUGGAUGGGUUGACUGUGGGUGGGAUUAGCCGAUUAGGGAGGUGGUGGGUGGAGGACGGAGGUGAUGUGGUGGUGAAAUAGCCGAAGGUCAAAGGAAGUUGGUAGAUCUUGCACUUGCAGGGACAAAUCCAGAAUCAGUCAACCCAUUGAUGACUCAAAUAAGCAAUGGACCAAUUGGCAGUUUCCAUGAGAAGGUCAGAUUAUGAUAUAGUUUUAUAUUGAUGUAUAUAUACACACACAUCAUAUUCUGGAUACAACGAAAGAGCUUUCUAGACUUGUAUACGAGCACAAAUACGAAGAAGCUUUUACUGCUGUCCUUCAAAGAAGCGAUGUCAGGAUCGUGUCUUGGUUAUGCUCUCAGGGGCUAUUAGCAAGAAAUCCUUUGCCUCUGAGUCAAGGAGAACUGUUAUUUCUGCUGCAACAGUUGGCUUGUGACAGUGGUUGUGCGGUGGUGGUGUCGGGGUGGGAGUGGGUGAUGGCAGAUGGUGGGGGAGGUGGAGGUGACUGGUGAGCGUGGGUGUUUUAGAGAGAGAGA